GAGGAUAUAGUUCAGUGGUACAGUGCAUGCUUAGCAUGCACAAGGUCCUGGGUUCAACCCCCAGUACCUCCA
This 72-nucleotide transfer RNA is filed under the name Camelus ferus (Wild Bactrian camel). It matches the Rfam family "tRNA". Rfam says of the family: Transfer RNA (tRNA) molecules are approximately 80 nucleotides in length. Their secondary structure includes four short double-helical elements and three loops (D, anti-codon, and T loops). Further hydrogen bonds mediate the characteristic L-shaped molecular structure. tRNAs have two regions of fundamental functional importance: the anti-codon, which is responsible for specific mRNA codon recognition, and the 3' end, to which the tRNAs corresponding amino acid is attached (by aminoacyl-tRNA synthetases). tRNAs cope with the degeneracy of the genetic code in two manners: having more than one tRNA (with a specific anti-codon) for a particular amino acid; and 'wobble' base-pairing, i.e. permitting non-standard base-pairing at the 3rd anti-codon position. Lineage: Eukaryota; Metazoa; Chordata; Mammalia; Artiodactyla; Camelidae. The record is from Rfam by way of RNAcentral.